UACAGAGGUGGCAAGCGUUGUUCGGAAUUACUGGGCGUAAAGGGCGCGUAGGCGGUUCUGUAAGUCCCGCGUGAAAUCCCCCGGCUCAACUGGGGAACUGCACAGGAAGCUAGCGGGCUUGAGUUCGGGAGAGGGAAGCGGAAUUCCGGGUGUAGCGGUGAAAUGCGUAGAUAUCCGGAGGAACACCGGUGGCGAAGGCGGCUUCCUGGACCGACACUGACGCUGAGGCGCGAAAGCUAGGGGAGCAAACGGG
Molecule: ribosomal RNA, 253 nt
Filed under: uncultured bacterium
Lineage: Bacteria
Description: partial 16S ribosomal RNA
Rfam family: Bacterial small subunit ribosomal RNA
Source: RNAcentral